AUAAUGGGUCAGCGACUUAUAUUCUGUAGCAAGGUUAACCGUAUAGGGGAGCCGUAGGGAAACCGAGUCUUAACCGGGCGUUAAGUUGCAGGGUAUAGACCCGAAACCCGGUGAUCUAGCCAUGGGCAGGUUGAAGGUUGGGUAACACUAACUGGAGGACCGAACCGACUAAUGUUGAAAAAUUAGCGGAUGACCUGUGGCUGGGGGUGAAAGGCCAAUCAAACCGGGAGAUAGCUGGUUCUCCCCGAAAGCUAUUUAGGUAGCGCCUCGUGAAUUCAUCUCCGGGGGUAGAGCACUGUUUCGGCUAGGGGGCCAUCCCGGCUUACCAACCCGAUGCAAACUGCGAAUACCGGAGAAUGUUAUCACGGGAGACACACGGCGGGUGCUAACGUCCGUCGUGAAGAGGGAAACAACCCAGACCGCCAGCUAAGGUCCCAAAGUCAUGGUUAAGUGGGAAACGAUGUGGGAAGGCCCAGACAGCCAGGAUGUUGGCUUAGAAGCAGCCAUCAUUUAAAGAAAGCGUAAUAGCUCACUGGUCGAGUCGGCCUGCGCGGAAGAUGUAACGGGGCUAAACCAUGCACCGAAGCUGCGGCAGCGACACUGUGUGUUGUUGGGUAGGGGAGCGUUCUGUAAGCCUGUGAAGGUGGCCUGUGAGGGUUGCUGGAGGUAUCAGAAGUGCGAAUGCUGACAUAAGUAACGAUAAAGCGGGUGAAAAGCCCGCUCGCCGGAAGACCAAGGGUUCCUGUCCAACGUUAAUCGGGGCAGGGUGAGUCGACCCCUAAGGCGAGGCCGAAAGGCGUAGUCGAUGGGAAACGGGUUAAUAUUCCCGUACUUGGUGUUACUGCGAAGGGGGGACGGAGAAGGCUAUGUUGGCCGGGCGACGGUUGUCCCGGUUUAAGCGUGUAGGUGUGUGUUCCAGGUAAAUCCGGUUCACUUUAACACUGAGGCGUGACGACGAGGCACUACGGUGCUGAAGCAACAAAUGCCCUGCUUCCAGGAAAAGCCUCUAAGCAUCAGGUAACAUCAAAUCGUACCCCAAACCGACACAGGUGGUCAGGUAGAGAAUACCAAGGCGCUUGAGAGAACUCGGGUGAAGGAACUAGGCAAAAUGGUGCCGUAACUUCGGGAGAAGGCACGCUGACACGUAGGUGAAGUGAUUUACUCAUGGAGCUGAAGUCAGUCGAAGAUACCAGCUGGCUGCAACUGUUUAUUAAAAACACAGCACUGUGCAAACACGAAAGUGGACGUAUACGGUGUGACGCCUGCCCGGUGCCGGAAGGUUAAUUGAUGGGGUCAGCGCAAGCGAAGCUCCUGAUCGAAGCCCCGGUAAACGGCGGCCGUAACUAUAACGGUCCUAAGGUAGCGAAAUUCCUUGUCGGGUAAGUUCCGACCUGCACGAAUGGCGUAAUGAUGGCCAGGCUGUCUCCACCCGAGACUCAGUGAAAUUGAACUCGCUGUGAAGAUGCAGUGUACCCGCGGCAAGACGGAAAGACCCCGUGAACCUUUACUAUAGCUUGACACUGAACAUUGAGCCUUGAUGUGUAGGAUAGGUGGGAGGCUUUGAAGUGUGGACGCCAGUCUGCAUGGAGCCGACCUUGAAAUACCACCCUUUAAUGUUUGAUGUUCUAACGUGGACCCGUAA
Molecule: ribosomal RNA, 1642 nt
Filed under: Salmonella enterica subsp. enterica serovar Mbandaka
Lineage: Bacteria; Pseudomonadati; Pseudomonadota; Gammaproteobacteria; Enterobacterales; Enterobacteriaceae
Description: partial 23S ribosomal RNA
Rfam family: Bacterial large subunit ribosomal RNA
Source: RNAcentral